Molecule: ribosomal RNA, 506 nt
Filed under: uncultured bacterium
Lineage: Bacteria
Description: partial 16S ribosomal RNA
Rfam family: Bacterial small subunit ribosomal RNA
Source: RNAcentral
AGUGAACGCUGACGGUAGGCCUAACACAUGCAAGUCGAACGGCAGCACAGGAGAGCUUGCUCUCUGGGUGGCGAGUGGCGGACGGGUGAGGAAUACAUCGGAAUCUACUCUGUCGUGGGGGAUAACGUAGGGAAACUUACGCUAAUACCGCAUACGACCUACGGGUGAAAGCAGGGGACCUUCGGGCCUUGUGCGAUUGAAUGAGCCGAUGUCGGAUUAGCUAGUUGGCGGGGUAAAGGCCCACCAAGGCGACGAUCCGUAGCUGGUCUGAGGGGAUGAUCAGCCACACUGGAACUGAGACACGGUCCAGACUCCUACGGGAGGCAGCAGUGGGGAAUAUUGGACAAUGGGCGCAAGCCUGAUCCAGCCAUACCGCGUGGGUGAAGAAGGCCUUCGGGUUGUAAAGCCCUUUUGUUGGGAAAGAAAUCCAGCUGGCUAAUACCCGGUUGGGAUGACGGUACCCAAAGAAUAAGCACCGGCUAACUUCGUGCCAGCCGCCGCCGUAA